Molecule: ribosomal RNA, 253 nt
Filed under: uncultured bacterium
Lineage: Bacteria
Description: partial 16S ribosomal RNA
Rfam family: Bacterial small subunit ribosomal RNA
Source: RNAcentral
UACGAAGGGGGCUAGCGUUGUUCGGAUUUACUGGGCGUAAAGCGCACGUAGGCGGAUCGUUAAGUCGGGGGUGAAAGUCCUGGGCUCAACCUGGGAACUGCGCUUGAUACGGCAGAGCUAGAGGAUGGAAGAGGGUCGCGGAAUUCCCAGUGUAGAGGUGAAAUUCGUAGAUAUUGGGAAGAACACCGGUGGCGAAGGCGGCGACCUGGUCCAUUACUGACGCUGAGGCGCGACAGCGUGGGGAGCAAACAGG